GCUGAAUUGGUCUAGUGGUAUGAUACACCCUUAGGGAACAAGCAUUCUCCUAUCUGCUUGGGUGUGGUUCUCGGUUCGAUUCCGGGAUUCGGCC
This is a non-coding RNA of Naganishia onofrii, 94 nucleotides long. The record is from the annotation of a GenBank genome assembly. NCBI's taxonomy places the organism in Eukaryota, Fungi, Basidiomycota, Tremellomycetes, Filobasidiales, Filobasidiaceae.